This is a regulatory RNA element of 87 nucleotides. It matches the Rfam family "pan motif". The record is from Rfam.
CGGGCUGUAUCUUAGGAACAGCACCUUUAAAAGUGAAAGUAGAAAAAAUUAGUUCUGCCUUGAUCCCAAAAGGACUAGGACAGAGGG